Molecule: ribosomal RNA, 492 nt
Filed under: uncultured bacterium
Lineage: Bacteria
Description: partial 16S ribosomal RNA
Rfam family: Bacterial small subunit ribosomal RNA
Source: RNAcentral
AGUGGACGCUGGCGGUAGGCCUAACACAUGCAAGUCGAACGGCAGCACAGUAAGAGCUUGCUCUUACGGGUGGCGAGUGGCGGACGGGUGAGGAAUACAUCGGAAUCUACUUUUUCGUGGGGGAUAACGUAGGGAAACUUACGCUAAUACCGCAUACGACCUACGGGUGAAAGCAGGGGAUCUUCGGACCUUGCGCGAUUGAAUGAGCCGAUGUCGGAUUAGCUAGUUGGCGGGGUAAAGGCCCACCAAGGCGACGAUCCGUAGCUGGUCUGAGAGGAUGAUCAGCCACACUGGAACUGAGACACGGUCCAGACUCCUACGGGAGGCAGCAGUGGGGAAUAUUGGACAAUGGGCGCAAGCCUGAUCCAGCCAUACCGCGCGGGUGAAGAAGGCCUUCGGGUUGUAAAGCCCUUUUGUUGGGAAAGAAAAGCAGCAGGUUAAUACCCCGCUGUUCUGACGGUACCCAAAGAAUAAGCACCGGCUAACUUCGUG